This 408-nucleotide ribosomal RNA is filed under the name uncultured bacterium. RNAcentral describes it as "partial 16S ribosomal RNA". It matches the Rfam family "Bacterial small subunit ribosomal RNA", at positions 29 to 526 of the family's 1533-position model. The record is from RNAcentral.
AGUGAACGCUGGCGGCGUGCCUAAUACAUUCAAGUCGAACGAAGUUGCGAACGGGUGAGUAAUAUAUAGUUAAUCUGACCUAAAAAGAGGCAGCACAGUUGGAAACGGCUGCUAAUACCUCAUAGUGUAGGAUGAGACUAUAUCGUAUCAGCUAGUUGGUAAGGUAAUGGCUUACCAAGGCUAUGACGCGUAACUUGUCUGAGAGGCUGAUCAGUCACAAUGGAAAUGAGACACGGUCCAAACUCCUACUGGAGGCAGCAGGAAUGAAUAUUGCGCAAUGGGGGAAACCCUGACGAAGCAACGCCGCGUGGAGGAUGACACUUUUCGGAGCGUAAACUCCUUUGAUCAGGAAAGCGGUACCUGAUGAAGAAGCACCGGCUAACUCCGUGCCAGCAGCCGCGGUAAUAC